ACUGGUUGUGACGGUGCGCACCUGUAGUCCCAGCUACUUGGGAGGCAGAGGCAGAAGGAUCGCUUGGGUCCGGGAGUUCUGGGCUGUAGUGUGCUAUGCCGAUUGGGUGUCUGCACUAAGCUUGGCAUCAAUAUGGUGACCUCUGGGUCACAUUGAUGGAGUGGGGGGCCACCAAGUUGCCUAAGAAGGGGUAAACUGGCCCAUGUCAGAAACAGAGCAGUCAAAACUCCAGUGCUGAUCGGUAAUGGGACUGUGCCUGUGAAUAGCUGCUGCACUCCAGCCUGGGCAACAUAGCAAGACCCCAUCUCAA
Molecule: signal recognition particle RNA, 310 nt
Filed under: Callithrix jacchus (white-tufted-ear marmoset)
Lineage: Eukaryota; Metazoa; Chordata; Mammalia; Primates; Cebidae
Description: Metazoan signal recognition particle RNA (ENSCJAG00000046483.3)
Rfam family: Metazoan signal recognition particle RNA
About the family: The signal recognition particle (SRP) is a universally conserved ribonucleoprotein. It is involved in the co-translational targeting of proteins to membranes.
Source: Rfam by way of RNAcentral